Molecule: non-coding RNA, 731 nt
Organism: Coturnix japonica (Japanese quail)
Lineage: Eukaryota; Metazoa; Chordata; Aves; Galliformes; Phasianidae
Source: RefSeq, a predicted model, not a curated record
UCUUUUCUGUCGGCUGACCCAGCGAUAUGUGCUUUUUCAGGUUGUUUCAUGCUCUUCAGCCUCCUCCUAGUUUAUGAUUCAGCUGCUUCCAGCCAGUGCACAAGAACCACAUUUCCAUGGAAACUAUUCUGGGGUGGUUCCCAGCCCCCAGCUCUCAGCACAGUCUGCUCUCUGAUGGUGCUGGCAAGACUAUACCUGCAGGUGUGUGUUCCCCAGGGAUGUCCUUAUCUGGGAGGGUCUCCAUCCUAUAAAUCCCUCCCAGCUCUCAGUUGCCAGCACCUGAAAGGCAUAAGUGUUGCAGCAAAAUGCCCAGCUAUAGAGACACACCACCCCAGCCCUGGCAAGGAGUGAUGGGCUGUGCUUCAUUCUCUCCAGGCAGGAUGUUUGCUUGCUCUCAGCUUAAGGUUCAAGUGCUUCAGAUGCCUCAUGAGAUUCAAGCACCUGCAUGAAUCCAGCAGACAAGAAGCAGAGCCCACUGGUGACCUACUGCCCUUCUGGAGCAACACCAGGAGGUUGGAUAGCAUAUCUGAAGGUACAUAGCAACUGUGUCAGGCGCAAAUGGAUCCUAACCUGGUGAGACAGCUGGAGAGACUUUUUGGAGAGACACAGCUUACUUACAGUUCCUGUAAACGUGGGAGGAGAUCAAUCAAGUAGCAGUAACCCUUGGUUAAAGGUUGGAGUAAAGCAUCUGUUAUGUUCAUCUGUAAUAAAAUUUCCUUGGUGGUCUCCUG